GAUGAACGCUGGCGGCGUGCCUAAUACAUGCAAGUCGAGCGAACGGACGAGAAGCUUGCUUCUCUGAUGUUAGCGGCGGACGGGUGAGUAACACGUGGAUAACCUACCUAUAAGACUGGGAUAACUUCGGGAAACCGGAGCUAAUACCGGAUAAUAUUUUGAACCGCAUGGUUCAAAAGUAAAAGACGGUCUUGCUGUCACUUAUAGAUGGAUCCGCGCUGCAUUAGCUAGUUGGUAAGGUAACGGCUUACCAAGGCAACGAUGCAUAGCCGACCUGAGAGGGUGAUCGGCCACACUGGAACUGAGACACGGUCCAGACUCCUACGGGUGGCAGCAGUAGGGAAUCUUCCGCAAUGGGCGAAAGCCUGACGGAGCAACGCCGCGUGAGUGAUGAAGGUCUUCGGAUCGUAAAACUCUGUUAUUAGGGAAGAACAUAUGUGUAAGUAACUGUGCACAUCUUGACGGUACCUAAUCAGAAAGCCACGGCUAACUACGUG
Molecule: ribosomal RNA, 497 nt
Filed under: uncultured bacterium
Lineage: Bacteria
Description: partial 16S ribosomal RNA
Rfam family: Bacterial small subunit ribosomal RNA
Source: RNAcentral